This 343-nucleotide unclassified non-coding RNA is filed under the name soil metagenome. RNAcentral describes it as "partial contains 5.8S ribosomal RNA, internal transcribed spacer 2, and large subunit ribosomal RNA". The stretch from base 1 to 120 matches the Rfam family "5.8S ribosomal RNA", at positions 35 to 154 of the family's 154-position model. The record is from RNAcentral.
GAUGAAGAACGUAGCGAAAUGCGAUAAGUAAUGUGAAUUGCAGAAUUCAGUGAAUCAUCGAAUCUUUGAACGCACAUUGCGCCCGCUAGUAUUCUGGCGGGCAUGCCUGUCCGAGCGUCAUUUCAACCCUCAAGCCCCCGGGCUUGGUGUUGGGGAUCGGCGAGCCUCCGCGCCCGCCGUCCCCUAAAUCUAGUGGCGGUCUCGCUGUAGCUUCCUCUGCGUAGUAGCACACCUCGCACUGGGAAACAGCGCGGCCACGCCGUUAAACCCCCAACUUCUGAACGUUUGACCUAGGAUCAGGUAGGAAUACCCGCUGAACUUAAGCAUAUCAAUAAGCGGAGGA